RNAcentral lists this ribosomal RNA (1346 nucleotides) under uncultured bacterium. RNAcentral describes it as "bacterial SSU rRNA". It matches the Rfam family "Bacterial small subunit ribosomal RNA", at positions 28 to 1381 of the family's 1533-position model. The record is from RNAcentral.
GACGAACGCUGUCGGCGUGCUUAACACAUGCAAGUCGAACGGAAAGGCCCUGCUUUUGUGGGGUGCUCGAGUGGCGAACGGGUGAGUAACACGUGAGUAACCUGCCCUUGACUUUGGGAUAACUUCAGGAAACUGGGGCUAAUACCGGAUAGGAGCUCCUGCUGCAUGGUGGGGGUUGGAAAGUUUCGGCGGCUGGGGAUGGACUCGCGGCUUAUCAGCUUGUUGGUGGGGUAGUGGCUUACCAAGGCUUUGACGGGUAGCCGGCCUGAGAGGGUGACCGGCCACAUUGGGACUGAGAUACGGCCCAGACUCCUACGGGAGGCAGCAGUGGGGAAUAUUGCACAAUGGGCGGAAGCCUGAUGCAGCAACGCCGCGUGCGGGAUGACGGCCUUCGGGUUGUAAACCGCUUUCGCCUGUGACGAAGCGUGAGUGACGGUAAUGGGUAAAGAAGCACCGGCUAACUACGUGCCAGCAGCCGCGGUGAUACGUAGGGUGCGAGCGUUGUCCGGAUUUAUUGGGCGUAAAGGGCUCGUAGGUGGUUGAUCGCGUCGGAAGUGUAAUCUUGGGGCUUAACCCUGAGCGUGCUUUCGAUACGGGUUGACUUGAGGAAGGUAGGGGAGAAUGGAAUUCCUGGUGGAGCGGUGGAAUGCGCAGAUAUCAGGAGGAACACCAGUGGCGAAGGCGGUUCUCUGGGCCUUUCCUGACGCUGAGGAGCGAAAGCGUGGGGAGCGAACAGGCUUAGAUACCCUGGUAGUCCACGCUGUAAACGGUGGGUACUAGGUGUGGGGUCCAUUCCACGGGUUCCGUGCCGUAGCUAACGCUUUAAGUACCCCGCCUGGGGAGUACGGCCGCAAGGCUAAAACUCAAAGGAAUCGACGGGGCCCCGCACAAGCGGCGGAGCAUGCGGAUUAAUUCGAUGCAACGCGUAGAACCUUACCUGGGUUUGACAUGGAUCGGGAGUGCUCAGAGAUGGGUGUGCCUCUUUUGGGGUCGGUUCACAGGUGGUGCAUGCCUGUCGUCAGCUCGUGUCGUGAGAUGUUGGGUUAAGUCCCGCAACGAGCGCAACCCUUGUUCACUGUUGCCAGCACGUUAUGGUGGGGACUCAGUGGAGACCGCCGGGGUCAACUCGGAGGAAGGUGGGGAUGACGUCAAGUCCUCAUGCCCCUUAUGUCCAGGGCUUCACGCAUGCUACAAUGGCUGGUACAGAGAGUGGCGAGCCUGUGAGGGUGAGCGAAUCUCGGAAAGCCGGUCUCAGUUCGGAUUGGGGUCUGCAACUCGACCUCAUGAAGUCGGAGUCGCUAGUAAUCGCAGAUCUGCAACGCUGCGGUGAAUACGUUCCCGGGGCU